AACAAACGCUGGCGGCGUGCCUAACACAUGCAAGUCGUACGAGAAAUCCUGGGCAACUGGGAGAGUAAAGUGGCGCACGGGUGAGUAACGCGUGGGUAACCUGCCCUUGAAUUGGGGAUAACUCCGCGAAAGCGAAGUUAAUACCGAAUGAUAUUCCGAUUUCUCCGGAGGUUGGAAUCAAAGGUGGCCUCUGCAUGCAAGCUACUGUUCAAGGAUGGGCCCGCGUACCAUUAGCUUGUUGGUAGGGUAACGGCCUACCAAGGCAUCGAUGGUUAGCUGGUCUGAGAGGAUGGCCAGCCACACUGGAACUGAGACACGGUCCAGACUCCUACGGGAGGCAG
RNAcentral lists this ribosomal RNA (341 nucleotides) under uncultured Pseudomonadota bacterium. RNAcentral's name for it is "bacterial SSU rRNA". It matches the Rfam family "Bacterial small subunit ribosomal RNA", at positions 29 to 351 of the family's 1533-position model. Lineage: Bacteria; Pseudomonadati; Pseudomonadota. The record is from RNAcentral.